This 1652-nucleotide ribosomal RNA is filed under the name Serratia marcescens. RNAcentral's name for it is "partial 23S ribosomal RNA". It matches the Rfam family "Bacterial large subunit ribosomal RNA", at positions 1297 to 2925 of the family's 2925-position model. Lineage: Bacteria; Pseudomonadati; Pseudomonadota; Gammaproteobacteria; Enterobacterales; Yersiniaceae. The record is from RNAcentral.
CUGACAUAAGUAACGAUAAAGCGGGUGAAAAGCCCGCUCGCCGGAAGACCAAGGGUUCCUGUCCAACGUUAAUCGGGGCAGGGUGAGUCGACCCCUAAGGCGAGGCUGAAAAGCGUAGUCGAUGGGAAACAGGUUAAUAUUCCUGUACUUGGUGUUACUGCGAAGGGGGGACGGAGAAGGCUAGGCUAGCCGGGCGACGGUUGUCCCGGUUUAAGCGUGUAGGGGGUGUGACCUGGUAAAUCCGGUUGCAUAUCAACCCUGAGGCGUGAUGACGAUGCACUACGGUGCAGAAGUAGUUGAUGCCCUGCUUCCAGGAAAAUCCUCUAAGCUCCAGGUAACAUUAAAUCGUACCCCAAACCGACACAGGUGGUCAGGUAGAGAAUACCAAGGCGCUUGAGAGAACUCGGGUGAAGGAACUAGGCAAAAUGGUGCCGUAACUUCGGGAGAAGGCACGCUGGCAUGUAGGUGAAGUCCUUCGCGGAUGGAGCUGAAGCCAGUCGAAGAUACCAGCUGGCUGCAACUGUUUAAUAAAAACACAGCACUGUGCAAACACGAAAGUGGACGUAUACGGUGUGACGCCUGCCCGGUGCUGGAAGGUUAAUUGAUGGGUCAGCCGCAAGGCGAAGCUCUUGAUCGAAGCCCCAGUAAACGGCGGCCGUAACUAUAACGGUCCUAAGGUAGCGAAAUUCCUUGUCGGGUAAGUUCCGACCUGCACGAAUGGCGUAAUGAUGGCCAGGCUGUCUCCACCCGAGACUCAGUGAAAUUGAACUCGCUGUGAAGAUGCAGUGUACCCGCGGCAAGACGGAAAGACCCCGUGAACCUUUACUAUAGCUUGACACUGAACAUUGAGCCUUGAUGUGUAGGAUAGGUGGGAGGCUUUGAAGCGUGGACGCCAGUCUGCGUGGAGCCAUCCUUGAAAUACCACCCUUUAAUGUUUGAUGUUCUAACUCGGCCCCGUAAUCCGGGGUGAGGACAGUGUCUGGUGGGUAGUUUGACUGGGGCGGUCUCCUCCCAAAGAGUAACGGAGGAGCACGAAGGUUAGCUAAUCACGGUCGGACAUCGUGAGGUUAGUGCAAAGGCAUAAGCUAGCUUGACUGCGAGAGUGACGGCUCGAGCAGGUACGAAAGUAGGUCUUAGUGAUCCGGUGGUUCUGAAUGGAAGGGCCAUCGCUCAACGGAUAAAAGGUACUCCGGGGAUAACAGGCUGAUACCGCCCAAGAGUUCAUAUCGACGGCGGUGUUUGGCACCUCGAUGUCGGCUCAUCACAUCCUGGGGCUGAAGUAGGUCCCAAGGGUAUGGCUGUUCGCCAUUUAAAGUGGUACGCGAGCUGGGUUUAGAACGUCGUGAGACAGUUCGGUCCCUAUCUGCCGUGGGCGUUGGAAGAUUGAGAGGGGUUGCUCCUAGUACGAGAGGACCGGAGUGAACGCACCACUGGUGUUCGGGUUGUCAUGCCAAUGGCAUUGCCCGGUAGCUAAGUGCGGAAAAGAUAAGCGCUGAAAGCAUCUAAGCGCGAAACUUGCCUCAAGAUGAGUCUUCCCUGGGCCUUCAAGGCCCCUGAAGGAACGUUUAAGACUAAGACGUUGAUAGGCUGGGUGUGUAAGUGCAGCGAUGCAUUGAGCUAACCAGUACUAAUGAUCCGUGAGGCUUAACCUU